This 533-nucleotide unclassified non-coding RNA is filed under the name Bombus terrestris (buff-tailed bumblebee). RNAcentral's name for it is "misc RNA ENSBTSG00005032347.1". The record is from RNAcentral. Lineage: Eukaryota; Metazoa; Arthropoda; Insecta; Hymenoptera; Apidae.
UACAGUUUUCUUCCAUUUACCCUUAUCGUUUAUUUGCAACUGUCAAGAAGCUUUCACAUAUCUCGUACUUAACAUUUACGCUUAAAAACUAUCACUUAAACUCGAUCUUGGAACGUACCUUUCGCGUUCCUUAGUUUCUUAUCUAUGCUUUUACUAUUUGUACCCUCGAAGAGGCCAAGUCUCAACUACGCGUACAAAUUCACACGGAAAUAUCAAGUACGGAACUCUGAGAGUAAAGUGUAAAAAAUGUAAGACUGGUGAUACGAAACUAUAAGUAUACGUGUACAAGUAUAGUAUAAAACUAUUCGCUAAUCUUUGGCCCCUCUUCUCUGUUCUCCCUCUCUUUUUCUCUCUUGUUCCGCUUUCUCUUUAAUAGCCAUCGCUUCUUCCUUCUCAAUUCCCCUCGGGAUCUCGAGAUCCCCGGACCUCGUGCCUUCAGGACAACCUCCGCUGCGUCUACCUUCGUUAUGAAUAUAAUCUUGAUUCAGCUUAAAGCAUUAUACACCACUACUUCGUGUUGUAAAUUACUUACC